CUGCUUUGAGGAGCUGUUCCGUGCCAGCUGUGAGCAGCACUGACACAGUGUGUGUGAGCACGGGGGGUCAUGCUCCUCACCCACUGCAGCACUGACACAGUGUGUGUGAGCACGGGGGGUCAUGCUCCUCACCCACUGCCUCCUCCUCUUUCUGUUGGCCCUGCAAGCCCAGGACGCCCAGACUGCUCCAGUCCAAGGGCAGGGAGCAGAUGUGGCCAGAGGGAGGGCUCUUCCAGCUCCUCAGACAGUUCCCAUGCUGAUUCCCAGCUGGUAUCCCAGGGUGUCCUUGUAUAAAGUUAAAACAAGGAAGGAUUUCCAGAGGACUCCUGAAGUUCCAAAAGAGGCCCUGAAAAACUUGGAGAAAGCCACAUCAGAGAUGGAGACAGAGCAGAAGGAAGCCUUGCAGAUGAGAAGCAGCAACAGGGUGCCAGUCUCAGGCAGAGAGGCAGUACAAGAAGCCAGCACACCUGCUCAGCCUCAGGGGCGUCCUGGAGGGCCAGGUGCUGGGGAAAAGGCUGGUCAUGGGGAACUGAGCAAGUUCUACAUCCUAGGCACUGCAGCAACCCUGGGUGUGCUGCUGCUUGGGAUAGUGGUACUGGGCAUAGUCCUGUCAGUGCUGAGCAGGAGAGACACAAGGACCCAGAGAACCAGAGAAGCACCGGGACAAGCCAACACCGAGAGCUCCAGCCCAUCCCCGGUGGUCUUUGCAGCCCAGCUCGCCCAGAUGUCCAGGCACAUGGUCACGGGGCCCUCACCUCUGCCCACGUGCCCCAGCUGCUCUCUGGCUGACUGUGCCUCUUCAUGUGACAACUGGAUUUUGCUGGACUCCUCUCAGCCCACACCGUUUGGGUAUCGCUGUUACCAGUGCCAGGGAUACUGCACAUUGAAAGAGGAUUGUUUUGUGAAUGGAUAAAAGAUAUAUUUUUGCC
RNAcentral lists this long non-coding RNA (929 nucleotides) under Manacus vitellinus (golden-collared manakin). RNAcentral's name for it is "lncRNA (ENSMVIG00005016384.1)". The record is from RNAcentral. Lineage: Eukaryota; Metazoa; Chordata; Aves; Passeriformes; Pipridae.